CCUACGGGUGGCAGCAGUGGGGAAUAUUGGGCAAUGGAGGAAACUCUGACCCAGCAACGCCGCGUGAAUGAUGAAGGCCUUCGGAUUGUAAAGUUCUUUUCUCAGGGAAGAAGAUAGUCACGGUACUUAAGGAAUAAGCCUCGGAUAACUCCGUGACAGCCGCCGCGGUAAUACGUGGGAGGCACGCGUUAUGCGGAAUGACUGGGCGUAAAGGGUGUGUAGGUGGUUUGACAAGUUGGUAGCGUAACUCCGAGGCUUAACCUCGGCACUGCUACCGAAACUGUUUGUCUCGAGUGCAGGAGAGGCAAGUGGAAUUCCUAGUGUAGCGGUGAAAUGCGUAGAUAUUAGGAGGAACACCAGUGGCGAAGGCGGUUUGCUGGACUGUAACUGACGCUGAGGCACGAAAGCGUGGGGAGCAAACAGGAUUAGAUACCCCAGUAGUC
This 443-nucleotide ribosomal RNA is filed under the name uncultured bacterium. RNAcentral describes it as "partial 16S ribosomal RNA". It matches the Rfam family "Bacterial small subunit ribosomal RNA", at positions 338 to 795 of the family's 1533-position model. The record is from RNAcentral.